GGCGGUCUCCUCCCAAAGAGUAACGGAGGAGCACGAAGGUUGGCUAAGCAUGGUCGGACAUCAUGCGGUUAGUGCAAAGGCAUAAGCCAGCUUGACUGCGAGAGUGACGGCUCGAGCAGGUACGAAAGUAGGUCUUAGUGAUCCGGUGGUUCUGAAUGGAAGGGCCAUCGCUCAACGGAUAAAAGGUACUCCGGGGAUAACAGGCUGAUACCGCCCAAGAGUUCAUAUCGACGGCGGUGUUUGGCACCUCGAUGUCGGCUCAUCACAUCCUGGGGCUGAAGUAGGUCCCAAGGGUACGGCUGUUCGCCGUUUAAAGUGGUACGCGAGCUGGGUUUAGAACGUCGUGAGACAGUUCGGUCCCUAUCUGCCGUGGGCGUUGGAAGAUUGAAAGGGGCUGCUCCUAGUACGAGAGGACCGGAGUGGACGCACCACUGGUGUUCGGGUUGUCAUGCCAAUGGCAUUGCCCGGUAGCUAAGUGCGGAAGAGAUAACCGCUGAAAGCAUCUAAGCGGGAAACUUGCCUUGAGAUGAGUCUUCCCUGACCCUUUAAGGGUCCUAAAGGAACGUUUAAGACUAAGACGUUGAUAGGUUGGGUGUGUAAGCAUAGCGAUAUGUUGAGCUAACCAAUACUAAUGAACCGUGAGGCUUAACCUG
This 653-nucleotide ribosomal RNA is filed under the name Providencia rettgeri. RNAcentral's name for it is "partial 23S ribosomal RNA". It matches the Rfam family "Bacterial large subunit ribosomal RNA", at positions 2278 to 2925 of the family's 2925-position model. The record is from RNAcentral. Lineage: Bacteria; Pseudomonadati; Pseudomonadota; Gammaproteobacteria; Enterobacterales; Morganellaceae.